RNAcentral lists this ribosomal RNA (1289 nucleotides) under Rhinophis philippinus. Its description in RNAcentral is "partial 16S ribosomal RNA". It matches the Rfam family "Bacterial large subunit ribosomal RNA", at positions 562 to 2586 of the family's 2925-position model. The record is from RNAcentral. Lineage: Eukaryota; Metazoa; Chordata; Lepidosauria; Squamata; Uropeltidae.
GCCAACCAACGAUCCAACCAUAAUACAACCAUCUUCAAUAUACAAAACAAACCAUUUGACCAACCAAGUAGAUGCGAUCGAACAUUACACCUGGAACAUACGUACCGCAAGGGAAAAAAUUUAAAGCACGGAACAGCAAAGAUAAACCCUUGUACCUUUCGCAUCAUGGUUUAGCAAGAAUCCAAGACAAGAAGAAUCAAAGCCUACAAACCCGAAACCAGAUGAGCUACUUCACAGCAGCCUUUUUGGGCACACCCUCCUCUGUAGCAAAAGAGCGGGAAGACUAUGAAGUAGAAGUGAAACACCCAUCGAAUCUGGAGAUAGCUGGCUACCCUAAAAAGGAUUUAAGUCCUACCUUAGACCCUCUCACACCACCAAGUUAUCUAAGGACACUCAAUAAAGGUACAACUUUAUUGAAACAGGAUACAACCUGAAUUUGAGAGUAACUACCUUACCACUACCAGUAGGCCUUAAAGCCGCCACCUAAAAAAAUAUCGUUUAAGAAUAACUAAAACAAUUCCAAACCGAACUAGUCACUCCAAAAUAACUAAAGGUUAAUUUAUACCCAUAAAUAAGCUUAUGCUAAAACUAUUAAUAAGAAUACCUCUCAUUGCACAACCUUUUAUUAGAAACAGAAAAUCUACUAAUAAUUAACAGACCACAAAAGGAAAUGAACAACCCUCUACACAACCUCUUUCCCUACUGUAACCCCAACACAGGUGUGCCCCAAUGAAAGAGAAAAAGCUGCAAAAGGAACUCGGCAACCUCUAGCUCCAACUGUUUACCAAAAACAUAACCUUUAGCCAACCUAAUAUUAAAGGCAAUGCCUGCCCAGUGAAACUAUUCAACGGCCGCGGUACCCUAACCGUGCAAAGGUAGCGUAAUCAUUUGUCUAUUAAUUGUAGACCAGUAUGAAAGGCAACAUGAGAGCCAAACUGUCUCUUACAGCCACUCAAUUAAACUGAUCUUUUAGUCCAAAAGCUAAAAUAUCUAUAUAAGACCAGAAGACCCUGUGAAGCUUAAACUAACCCGUUAAACCAAAUAACGGCCACUUUCGGUUGGGGCGACCUUGGAACAAAAAAGAACUUCCAAUACAAUGAAUACAUAUAUCAUAUUAAGGCUGACAAGCCACAGUACGACCCAGUCCACUGACUAAUGAACCAAGUUACUCCAGGGAUAACAGCGCCAUCUUCUUCAAGAGCCCAUAUCAAAAAGAAGGUUUACGACCUCGAUGUUGGAUCAGGACACCCUAGUGGCGCAGCCGCUACCAAGGGUUCGUUUGUUCAACG